This 815-nucleotide long non-coding RNA is filed under the name Homo sapiens (human). RNAcentral describes it as "HSALNT0177263". Lineage: Eukaryota; Metazoa; Chordata; Mammalia; Primates; Hominidae. The record is from RNAcentral.
CCCGCCUCGGCCUCCCAAAGUGCUGGGAUUACAGGCAAAAUAAACUUUAUAAAUUAACUGAGACCCGUCUCAGAUUUUCUGGGUUUACACUGGGGACCUCUGGCUGCUCACCAGGCAGUUCCUGACUGGACCUGGGUCCCAUAGGUGACCACCCCAGACUUGGCCAGCCCCCAUGGAGCUCACAGUCUACACACGGAACAAUGACACCGGAAACAAUAUCAUUACAAACAUGAUCGGUGGGCCAGGGCUUCUUCCAGAGGUGGCCAGAGACCCACCCCUGGCUCUGACUGCUGCGGGGAAGCCGUAGGGGAGGGCCUCUUGGAGGGCAGGUGAUCUGGACAGAGGGACCAACGUGUGCAAAAGCCCUGUGGGGGCAGAUGCUGAGAAAUAAGACACACAGGAAGGUGGAGGCCUGAUGGGACCUGUCAUAUGGAGAGGGGACUCAUUCCCUUGGCAGUGGCCAUGCCUGGUGCAGGGCCCAGAAAGAAGUCAGAGCUGGCAUCUGGGGCCAGGUAGCUGGCAUGCACAUCUCAUCUGAGCCUCACAGCUAUUAUUAUUACCCAGUUGGAAGGACAGGGAAACCGAGGCUCCCAGAGACGACUUGAUUUGCCCUCCUCACAGCCUCAGUGCGAGGAGGGAGGCCCCCCAGCCCCUCUCCUCACACCAGCCUUGUGACACCAUGUGCCAAUGUGUGCCUCGUGCCUUUCACUGUCUUCUCAACAUCUUCCUGCAGCUUCCAGACUUUCUAAAUGCGAAUGUAGUAUAACCCAGCGUGGGCUCUGCCCCUGGGUCCUUCGCUGCACCUCCACUCCCUU